UAUCCCAUAAAAAAAGUAUUAAUACAUUGAGAAGGAAAUAUUAUUAUGUAAAUUAUUAUGUGUAUUUGCAAUAAGAAAGGAUAAGAUUGGAAUUCCUCCACUUCUUGUCCUUGUGAGCAUUGUUGCACAUUGCAAAAUGAAAAACAAAAUGAUUGUAUCGUUUGUCUUUAUAUUCAAGAGCAUUAUCAAUUAUUAAAAAGAAAUUUUAAUUGUUUUAGUAUCAAGCUGACAGCCAAUAUUGAGAUUUGUGCAAUCAUCGUGUGGUCUUAGUUUAAGUCUUCCAUUGACUUGAAAUAUUUCAGUACAAGUUUGUCAAGUGUCGAGAAUUGCCAGUAUACUGAAACACACCCAAAUUAAGCUUUUCUUCAUCAAAGCAACCAAAUUUCUGUGGAAGAAGUUCGGAGCUGAGAAGAGGAUCUAAACAACAUUGGGUAAAUAGCCUUAUGAAGAGGCAUGACGACUUGUUGAAAGAAAAAAGGAUCCAUCAUGCCCAAAAGAGAAAGAGAUUUGAAUCUUCUUCGAAGAAGGAUUAAGAAAGCAGGGAAGAAAGUGAAAAGGUUGAAAGCCUGGACAGCCCAGACAAGAGAAGAGAUGACUGAAUUAACAAAUUCGGUGGAAAAACGUUACCAGGCAAUCGUCCAAAUCAGGGAAGCGAUUCAUCCAUUAACCUUUGCUGCUGAGGCGUUGGAUGCUCAGGUAGUCGAGUUAAUUUCUGCUUGGCUCGCUGACAACGAUGACGAUUGAUCAGUUUUCCUGCUCUCUGUGGGAUGUUGGGGAGAUAGCUAGCUCAGCUGGUUUGUUGGAACUCUGGAAAGUUUUUUUUUUUUUCUAAUGGUUCUGAACUUCUCGUCUUCGCUUGCUUACUUAUUUGAACUGGAACUGCUAUGUUAUAGAGUAAAUUUGGUCUGUUUCUUCUUUUUAUUAAACUUUUUGAGUGGAACGGGAGAUGCUUGAAUUGCUAUCAUAGUUUGAUUUGAAUAUUUUCCGGAAUUUAUUUGGAUGGCUGCCUCAUUUUUUUUUCUUUCAUUCUUUUGGUGUUCUUCUAUUGAUGAUGAUAAAUGUUUACGAGGAAACAAACCACUUCAGCAUUAGAUAAAAUAGAGAG
This is a non-coding RNA of Durio zibethinus, 1105 nucleotides long. The record is from RefSeq and is a predicted model, not a curated record. Lineage: Eukaryota; Viridiplantae; Streptophyta; Magnoliopsida; Malvales; Malvaceae.